This 2897-nucleotide ribosomal RNA is filed under the name Clostridioides difficile. RNAcentral's name for it is "bacterial LSU rRNA". It matches the Rfam family "Bacterial large subunit ribosomal RNA". Lineage: Bacteria; Bacillati; Bacillota; Clostridia; Peptostreptococcales; Peptostreptococcaceae. The record is from RNAcentral.
UCAAGUUAUUAAGGGUGCAGGGCGGAUGCCUUGGCACUAGGAGCCGAUGAAGGACGUGAUAAGCUGCGAUAAGCUUCGGGGAGUUGCACGUAAACUUUGAUCCGAAGAUUUCCGAAUGAGGAAACUCACUUAGAGUAAUGUCUAAGUAUCAUUAAGUGAAUACAUAGCUUAAUGAGGGGAACUCAGGGAACUGAAACAUCUAAGUACCUGAAGGAAGAGAAAGAAAUUCGAUUCCGUAAGUAGCGGCGAGCGAACGCGGAUUAGCCCAAACCAAUAAAGUUUUCUUUAUUGGGGUUGAGGACAUACCACAUAUAAGAGGUCAUUAUAGACGAAGAAGUUUGGAAAAACUCAUCAUAGAAGGUAAUAAUCCUGUAGUCAAAAUAAUAAUUCUUUAGGUAUGAUCCAGAGUACCACGGGACACGUGAAACCCUGUGGGAAGCAGGAGGGACCACCCUCCAAGGCUAAAUACUACCUAGUGACCGAUAGCGUAUAGUACCGUGAGGGAAAGGUGAAAAGAACCCCGGGAGGGGAGUGAAAUAGAACCUGAAACCCUGCACUUACAAGCUGUGGAAGCACAUUUCUUGUGUGACCGCGUACUUUUUGUAGAACGGGCCAACGAGUUACGUUAAGUAGCAAGGUUAAGCACUUAAGGUGCGGAGCCGUAGCGAAAGCGAGUUUUAACUGAGCGUUCAGUUACUUGACGUAGACCCGAAACCGGGCGACCUACCCAUGAGCAGGAUGAAGCGAAAGUAAAAUUUCGUGGAGGUCCGAACCCACGAGCGUUGAAAAGCUCGGGGAUGACUUGUGGGUAGCGGUGAAAUUCCAAUCGAGCCCGGAGAUAGCUGGUUCUCCCCGAAAUAGCUUUAGGGCUAGCCUCAAGGUGAGAGAUACGGAGGUAGAGCACUGAAUGUCCUAGGGGGUAUUGCACCUACCGAAGACUAUCAAACUCCGAAUGCCGUCAUCUUAUACUUGGGAGUCAGACUGUGGGUGAUAAGAUUCAUAGUCGAAAGGGCAACAGCCCAGAUCGUCAGCUAAGGUCCCUAAAUGUAAGUUAAGUGGUAAAGGAUGUGGGAUUGCACAGACAACCAGGAUGUUGGCUUAGAAGCAGCCACUCAUUCAAAGAGUGCGUAAUAGCUCACUGGUCGAGUGAUCCUGCGCCGAAGAUUUCCGGGGCUAAAACUUACUACCGAAGCUACGGCAUCAGUAAUGAUGGGUAGGGGAGCUUCCCAUACGGGUUGAAGCAUGACCGUAAGGACAUGUGGACAGUAUGGGAGUGAGAAUGUUGGCAUGAGUAGCGAGAUGUGGGUGAGAAUCCCACAGGCCGUAAACCCAAGGUUUCCAGGGGAAGGUUCGUCCGCCCUGGGUUAGUCGGGACCUAAGCUGAGGCCGAAAGGCGUAGGUGAUGGACAACAGGUUGAUAUUCCUGUACUACCGAUAACCGUUUGAGAGAAGGGAUGACACAGUAGGAUAAGCUAAGCACACUGUUGGUUAUGUGUGCCCAAGCAUUGAGGCAGUCAAAGUAGGCAAAUCCGCUUUGAUAAUGCUGGGAUGUGAUGGGGAGCGAAAUUUAGUAGCGAAGUAGCUGAUUUCACACUGUCAAGAAAAGUCUCUAUCGAGGUUAAAGGUACCCGUACCGCAAACCGACACAGGUGGGUGAGGAGAGUAUCCUAAGGCCAGCGAGAGAACUGUUGUUAAGGAACUCGGCAAAAUGACCCCGUAACUUAGGGAUAAGGGGUGCCACCAUCAGGUGGCCGCAGAGAAUAGGCCCAAGCGACUGUUUACCAAAAACAUAGGUUUCUGCUAAGUCGCAAGACGAUGUAUAGGAGCUGACGCCUGCCCGGUGCUGGAAGGUUAAGGGGAUCUGUUAGAGCAAUCGAAGCAGUGAACUUAAGCCCCAGUAAACGGCGGCCGUAACUAUAACGGUCCUAAGGUAGCGAAAUUCCUUGUCGGGUAAGUUCCGACCCGCACGAAAGGCGUAACGAUUUGGGCACUGUCUCAACAACAGACUCGGUGAAAUUGUAAUUCCGGUGAAGAUGCCGGAUACCUGCGACAGGACGGAAAGACCCCAUGGAGCUUUACUGUAGCUUGACAUUGGGUCUUGGUACUACAUGUACAGGAUAGGUGGGAGGCUUUGAAACCAGGACGCCAGUUUUGGCGGAGCCAUCCUUGGGAUACCACCCUUGUAGUACUGGGACUCUAACCAUAGGCCAUGAAUCUGGUCUUGGGACACUGUCAGGUGGGCAGUUUGACUGGGGCGGUCGCCUCCCAAAAGGUAACGGAGGCGCUCAAAGGUUCUCUCAGUACGGUCGGAAAUCGUACGUAGAGUGUAAAGGCAAAAGAGAGCUUGAUUGCAAGACAUACAGGUCGAGCAAGGAUGAAAAUCGGACUUAGUGAUCCGGUGGUUCUGCGUGGAAGGGCCAUCGCUCAACGGAUAAAAGCUACCCUGGGGAUAACAGGCUUAUCUCCCCCAAGAGUCCACAUCGACGGGGAGGUUUGGCACCUCGAUGUCGGCUCAUCACAUCCUGGGGCUGUAGUAGGUCCCAAGGGUUGGGCUGUUCGCCCAUUAAAGUGGUACGCGAGCUGGGUUCAGAACGUCGUGAGACAGUUCGGUCCCUAUCCGUCGCAGGCGUAGGAAAUUUGAGAAGACCUGUCCUUAGUACGAGAGGACCGGGAUGGACGUACCUCUGGUGUACCAGUUGUUCUGCCAAGGGCAUGGCUGGGUAGCUAUGUACGGAAUGGAUAAGCGCUGAAAGCAUCUAAGCGCGAAGCCAACUUCAAGAUAAGAUUUCCCACCGCAAGGGUAAGACCCCAGAAAGACUAUCUGGUUGAUAGGUCGAAGGUGUAAGUGCAGCAAUGUAUUUAGCUUAUCGAUACUAAUAGGUCGAGGACUUGACCAA